RNAcentral lists this ribosomal RNA (404 nucleotides) under uncultured bacterium. RNAcentral's name for it is "bacterial SSU rRNA". It matches the Rfam family "Bacterial small subunit ribosomal RNA", at positions 29 to 416 of the family's 1533-position model. The record is from RNAcentral.
AACGAACGCUGGCGGCGUGCCUAACACAUGCAAGUCGUGCGAGAAAGUUCCUUCGGGAGCGAGUAAAGCGGCGCACGGGUGAGUAACACGUAGGUAACCUGCCCCCCAGUCUGGAACAACUAGAGGAAACUCUAGCUAAUGCCGGAUGAGACCACGAUCCCCUUCGGGGGUUGCGGCCAAAGAUGGCCUCUACUUGUAAGCUAUCGCUGAGGGAUGGGCCUGCGGGCCAUUAGCUUGUUGGUGAGGUAACGGCUCACCAAGGCUGUGAUGGCUAGCUGGUCUGAGAGGAUGACCAGCCACACUGGGACUGAGACACGGCCCAGACUCCUACGGGAGGCAGCAGUGGGAAUAUUGCGCAAUGGGCGAAAGCCUGACGCAGCGACGCCGCGUGGGUGAUGAAGGCC